AUUGAACGCUGGCGGCAGGCCUAACACAUGCAAGUCGAACGGUAGCAGUAAGAAGCUUGCUUCUUUGCUGACGAGUGGCGGACGGGUGAGUAAUGUCUGGGAAACUGCCUGAUGGAGGGGGAUAACUACUGGAAACGGUAGCUAAUACCGCAUAACGUCGCAAGACCAAAGAGGGGGACCUUCGGGCCUCUUGCCAUCGGAUGUGCCCAGAUGGGAUUAGCUAGUAGGUGGGGUAACGGCUCACCUAGGCGACGAUCCCUAGCUGGUCUGAGAGGAUGACCAGCCACACUGGAACUGAGACACGGUCCAGACUCCUACGGGAGGCAGCAGUGGGGAAUAUUGCACAAUGGGCGCAAGCCUGAUGCAGCCAUGCCGCGUGUAUGAAGAAGGCCUUCGGGUUGUAAAGUACUUUCAGCGGGGAGGAAGGGAGUAAAGUUAAUACCUUUGCUCAUUGACGUUACCCGCAGAAGAAGCACCGGCUAACUCCGUG
RNAcentral lists this ribosomal RNA (490 nucleotides) under uncultured bacterium. Its description in RNAcentral is "partial 16S ribosomal RNA". It matches the Rfam family "Bacterial small subunit ribosomal RNA", at positions 30 to 507 of the family's 1533-position model. The record is from RNAcentral.